AGUGGCGGACGGGUGAGUAACGCGUGAGAAUCUGCCUUGGGGUCGGGGACAACCACUGGAAACGGUGGCUAAUACCGGAUAAGCCGAUUGGCGAAAGAUUUAUUGCCCGAAGAGGAGCUCGCGUCUGAUUAGCUAGUUGGUGAGGUAAGAGCUCACCAAGGCAGCGAUCAGUAGCUGGUCUGAGAGGACGAUCAGCCACACUGGGACUGAGACACGGCCCAGACUCCUACGGGAGGCAGCAGUGGGGAAUUUUCCGCAAUGGGCGAAAGCCUGACGGAGCAAGACCGCGUGAGGGAGGAAGGCUCUUGGGUUGUAAACCUCUUUUCUCAGGGAAGAAGCUCUGACGGUACCUGAGGAAUCAGCCUCGGCUAACUCCGUGCCAGCAGCCGCGGUAAUACGGAGGAGGCAAGCGUUAUCCGGAAUUAUUGGGCGUAAAGCGUCCGCAGGUGGCGAUUCAAGUCUGCUGUCAAAGCACGGGGCUUAACUCCGUAAAGGCAGUGGAAACUGAAUAGCUAGAGUGCCGUAGGGGUAGAGGGAAUUCCCGGUGUAGCGGUGAAAUGCGUAGAGAUCGGGAAGAACAUCGGUGGCGAAAGCGCUCUACUGGACGGCAACUGACACUCAGGGACGAAAGCUAGGGGAGCGAAUGGGAUUAGAUACCCC
RNAcentral lists this ribosomal RNA (660 nucleotides) under uncultured bacterium. Its description in RNAcentral is "bacterial SSU rRNA". It matches the Rfam family "Bacterial small subunit ribosomal RNA", at positions 94 to 788 of the family's 1533-position model. The record is from RNAcentral.